CCUGGGAAACCAGGAGACGCCGUGACUCGUGCGUCUUGUAUCUAUAGAAACGACAACAUGGCGGCGGUGUGAGUUCUGAGCGUUGGUCCCAGCGACCCGGCGAGCUGCACGAGUGGCCAGGGAAGGUAUCUGUCUUAGGAGACCGUCUCCUUUGGGAAGUCGUGACGGGGUCCCCUCAGUGUCCGUCGGAGAGCCCUGAGAGUCCAGAGGCAGAGGCUGUUUGUAGAAUGCCCUAUGGUUACAGCCAUUACUGAGCCAGGGAAGUACUACAAAGCCAUCCAACAGCAGAAAAGUAAUGGGGCCUUCCUCCCUGUCUCACCAGCUUGCAUCUCUUUGAUUCCAUCUGAAUGUUCACUUCCAAUUGAAGGGCAUGUGGGAUCUAACCUGCACCCCCUGCAGUGGAAAUUUGGAGUGUUAACCACUGAACUGCCAGAGAAAUCCCC
This is a long non-coding RNA of Bos taurus (domestic cattle), 443 nucleotides long. The record is from Ensembl. Lineage: Eukaryota; Metazoa; Chordata; Mammalia; Artiodactyla; Bovidae.